This 52-nucleotide non-coding RNA is filed under the name unclassified sequences. The record is from RNAcentral.
CAUCUAAUGCAGCCAAGGACGGUGACAAGCCCGUGUAAAUGCAGAGUCGAUG